GAUGAACGCUAGCGGCAGGCUUAAUACAUGCAAGUCGUGGGGCAGCAGGUUUGUAGCAAUACAGAUGCUGGCGACCGGCAAACGGGUGCGGAACACGUACAGAACCUUCCUUUGAGCGGGGAAUAGCCCAGAGAAAUUUGGAUUAAUACCCCAUAGUAUAAUGAAGUGGCAUCACUUUAUUAUUAAAGAUUUAUCACUCGAAGAUGGCUGUGCGGCUGAUUAGGUAGUUGGCGGGGUAAAGGCCCACCAAGCCUGCGAUCAGUAACUGGUGUGAGAGCACGACCAGUCACACGGGCACUGAGACACGGGCCCGACUCCUACGGGAGCAGCAGUAAGGAAUAUUGGUCAAUGGAGGCAACUCUGAACCAGCCAUGCCGCGUGGAGGAUGAAGGUCCUCUGGAUUGUAAACUUCUUUAUAUGGGACGAAAAAAGGCUUUUCUAAGUCGUCUGACGGUACCAUAUGAAUAAGCACCGGCUAACUCCGUGCCAGCAGCCG
This 496-nucleotide ribosomal RNA is filed under the name uncultured bacterium. Its description in RNAcentral is "bacterial SSU rRNA". It matches the Rfam family "Bacterial small subunit ribosomal RNA", at positions 28 to 517 of the family's 1533-position model. The record is from RNAcentral.